Molecule: non-coding RNA, 117 nt
Filed under: Gorilla gorilla gorilla (western lowland gorilla)
Lineage: Eukaryota; Metazoa; Chordata; Mammalia; Primates; Hominidae
Source: Rfam by way of RNAcentral
GCCGGGCGCGGUGGCUCACGCCUGUAAUCCCAGCACUUUGGGAGGCCGAAACGGGUGGAUCACCUGAGGUCAGGAGUUCGAGACUAGCCUGGCCAACAUGGUGAAACCCCGUCUCUA